RNAcentral lists this ribosomal RNA (490 nucleotides) under uncultured bacterium. RNAcentral describes it as "partial 16S ribosomal RNA". It matches the Rfam family "Bacterial small subunit ribosomal RNA", at positions 30 to 507 of the family's 1533-position model. The record is from RNAcentral.
AUUGAACGCUGGCGGCAGGCCUAACACAUGCAAGUCGAACGGUAACAGGAAGCAGCUUGCUGCUUCGCUGACGAGUGGCGGACGGGUGAGUAAUGUCUGGGAAGCUGCCUGAUGGAGGGGGAUAACUACUGGAAACGGUAGCUAAUACUGCAUAAUGUCGCAAGACCAAAGAGGGGGACCUUCGGGCCUCUUGCCAUCGGAUGUGCCCAGAUGGGAUUAGCUUGUUGGUGGGGUAACGGCUCACCAAGGCGACGAUCCCUAGCUGGUCUGAGAGGAUGACCAGCCACACUGGGACUGAGACACGGUCCAGACUCCUACGGGAGGCAGCAGUGGGGAAUAUUGCACAAUGGGCGCAAGCCUGAUGCAGCCAUGCCGCGUGUAUGAAGAAGGCCUUCGGGUUGUAAAGUACUUUCAGCGGGGAGGAAGGGAGUAAAGUUAAUACCUUUGCUCAUUGACGUUACCCGCAGAAGAAGCACCGGCUAACUCCGUG